ACCAGCUCUUCAAGUGGUCGGGAAUAUUAUUGGGCUUAAAGUGUCCGUAGCCGGUUUGAUAAGUUCCUGGUUAAAUCUGGCAGCUUAACUGUCAGUUGGCUAGGAAUACUAUCUUACUAGAGGGUGGGAAAGGUCUGAGGUACUCCAGGGGUAGCGGUGAAAUGCUAUAAUCCUUGGGGGACCACCAGUGGCGAAGGCGUCGGACUGGAACGUGCCUGACGGUGAGGGGCGAAAGCCAGGGGAGCGAACCGGAUUAGAUACCCGGGUAGUCCUGGCCGUAAACGAUGCAUACUAGGUGAUGGCCCGGCCAUGAGCUGUGUCAGUGCCGUAGGGAAACCGUUAAGUGUGCCGCCUGGGAAGUACGGUCGCAAGGCUAAAACUUAAGGAAUUGGCGGGGGAGCACCACAAGGGUGAAGCCUGCGGUUC
Molecule: ribosomal RNA, 426 nt
Filed under: uncultured archaeon
Lineage: Archaea
Description: bacterial SSU rRNA
Rfam family: Archaeal small subunit ribosomal RNA
Source: RNAcentral